This is a long non-coding RNA of Xiphophorus hellerii (green swordtail), 1533 nucleotides long. RefSeq lists it as uncharacterized. Lineage: Eukaryota; Metazoa; Chordata; Actinopteri; Cyprinodontiformes; Poeciliidae. The transcript has 4 exons. The record is from RefSeq and is a predicted model, not a curated record.
UUGUACUCUGAAGUUAUGAGGAUGUGAUGAAUUUAAAUCCUCGCAGACUUGACGCUUCUUCUCUUCAGAUAACUCUUUAACAGAUGACGGUGGAAAGUUUCUUCAGAUCGACCUAAAGGUCAGCGCAUAAAAUGGACUCUGCUGGACAAGAACUUCAAGCUGAAGCUCGAUCCAAGAAUCUGGUUGUGCGUAAAUCAUCAAUAGAUAAAUAUGCAGAAUUUAAGAAGCAGAGUUCUCAGCAAGAACACAAAAUAGAUGCUGCUAAACCAGUAAAUCAAGCUGAAGCUGGAUUCAAGAGUUUGCUCAAGCGUAAAAUAUGAAUGGACAGAGACAUUGACUAGAAACAAAGAUCAACAGUAGCAGGAAUGUUGUCCGAAAGGAGGAGUUUGCAUAGCCGUCAGCUACAGACAAAUCAGGAGGAAUGACUGCAAGUUUGGAAAGAAUGAACUUUCCUGGAGACUGAGCUGCUCUGAUGGUGGAUAUUCUAUCUGCCACAGGAACAAUCAGAUAUUCAUCCCGUCCUCAUCCUGGUCCCACAGCUUGUAUGUGGACUGUUCGUCUGGCAUCCUGUCCUUCCACAGGGUCUCAUCCGACACACAGCUCCAUCUCUACACCUUCAACACCACCUUCACUGAACCACUUUAUGCUGGCUUUGGGUUCACCUCAUAUAACUCCUCAGUGUGUCUGUGUUCUCUAUAGUAAACAUGACAGUUAUUUGACAAAACCUUAAUCUUUAAUAAAUAAGUAAAAUAAAAUUAAUUUGUGAAUUUCAAGCUCUCAGUUUUUCCCGUCUGGGUCUUUAAUGUGCUUUGAAACUAAAUCUGUGUUCGAUCAACAUUUUUCUGCGUCUUUGACCACAUUCAAACUACAUGUUUUCUAUUACAAUAUUGCAAUCUUUUCAAUUUGUAUGUAUUUUUUCUAUUCCUGGAUGUUGAAAUCCCUCCUAAGCUUGUGAUUAUUGCUUCUCACAAGAUAAUCAUUAUUGAUCUGUUUGCAUAUAUGCAAUGAAAAGAAAUCCACUUUAUGAGGAUUUAUUCACUUUGAUCAAAAAAAUACAAAUCUUAUUUGAUUUGACAUUUUUAGUCUACAAUAGGGCAACUGUAGUUUUCAUUCAGAUAGCAGCAGGUCUGUUUGGUUAUUUUUUCCCCUUAAAUGUAAUAAUUGUUUCAAAACAUGUUUUUGUAUUUGCUCGUGUUAUCUUUAUUUUAUAUCAAAUUGUAUUUGUUCUGAAGCACAAGUGUGUCCAAAAAAACUGAAGAUAAUUAUAAAGUUUAGAAACUGUAUGACAAGAAACGGUGGAUGUAAAAAACUUCUUAAAGUUCAUCAUAUUUUUGUGGAAUGUAUUACUUAUGAAUCAGAAAGAAGGCAGUUCCCAAAAUAAAGAAAAACAAUGAACAUUACAUUUACAAUUGAUAAAAUUAUUGGUAUUGAUGUCGGUGAAGUAUUAGGUCAAAUUAAGAGAAGUGUCUAUUGGGGUUGCCUUCCCCAGAUAAAAGAAUAAAAGCUGACUAAUAAACUAUUAUUUUAAAGUCA